AAGUCGUAACAAGGUAACCGUAGGUGAACCUGCGGUUGGAUCAUUAAUGAAAAUGGGGGGGUUUUUUUUGUCUGGGGAUUUUCCCCGGGGAAUGGAGCCCCUUUUAUUUACACCCCCUGUGAACAUGAAUUGGGAUUCUCUAACCAGAUUCCAAAUUAUACUCCUUAUGUAUAUCUCAGUCUCCGAGCGAUUCUUCUUGAGAAACGCGUUUUUAUAUAAAUCUAAAAACAACUUUUGACAACGGAUCUCUUGGCUCUC
This 258-nucleotide unclassified non-coding RNA is filed under the name fungal sp. RNAcentral describes it as "partial internal transcribed spacer region". The stretch from base 1 to 46 matches the Rfam family "Eukaryotic small subunit ribosomal RNA", at positions 1786 to 1831 of the family's 1831-position model. The record is from RNAcentral. Lineage: Eukaryota; Fungi.